CAUCGGGUCUUUCAAGAGAAGUUCGUGGUGCCGUUAAUUGAAGGUCUUCGUGAACUCAUUGUUGUUGUUUGGAACAGCAAUACUGUCACAUUCGAUGAUUUUAUCGGCAUCGGAAAGUAAGCACUACUAAUUCUCCUAUCUCUCGAUUUGUUAUUUAUUAUUUGGUAUUCAUUGAUUGUGGUUGAUUGAUUCUGUUAUUAGGGUUCAAUUGAACCAAGUUCUGUCUCAAGGUUUUGAUGAUUCUUCUUGGCCACUUCAAACUAAAUCUGGCAGAAUCGAUGGUCAGAGAUGUUUCCUUGUAUGAUUGCAAGAGCUUCCAAAAGUGAAGUGAUAUCUAGUGGAAUAAAUGGAACUAGAAAUGGUGCUCUUCAACUGUUAAAGAAGUGAAUUUUCUACGUUUUUGCAAGCAACAUGCAAAGGGGUAUCGGCAGUGGCUGAUGUGUUGAUUAAUACCUUCAAAGAAACUUCUUCUGGUGGUGCACCUACUUUUCAUAACUGUAGGAGGCUUCCUUCUGGUUGUGUGGUUCAAGAUAUGCCAAAUGGUUACUCUAAGACAGAAACUAUUGACUUGGCAGGACAAGGCCCUGUGGCAGACACUACAUUCUCUCUCAUUACAUCUCCAUACCACGUCCCUCUCCUUUUCUCUUUCCUUUGCCCAACCCUAGUGUACCGCGGUCUCCUUUUCCACCCUAUACAUGACCAUAUGACUUUUUAAUAACUACUGGAGGAAGUGUUUUGUUGAG
Long non-coding RNA from Vicia villosa (hairy vetch), 743 nucleotides. RefSeq lists it as uncharacterized. Lineage: Eukaryota; Viridiplantae; Streptophyta; Magnoliopsida; Fabales; Fabaceae. The transcript has 4 exons. The record is from RefSeq and is a predicted model, not a curated record.